GCCAACAUGGCAUAGUGGUUUAAGUGUUGGACUAUAAUUCUGGAGACCAGGAUUCAAUUCCUGCCUUGGCC
Molecule: non-coding RNA, 71 nt
Organism: Phrynosoma platyrhinos (Desert horned lizard)
Lineage: Eukaryota; Metazoa; Chordata; Lepidosauria; Squamata; Phrynosomatidae
Source: the annotation of a GenBank genome assembly